UACGUAGGGUCCGAGCGUUGUCCGGAAUUACUGGGCGUAAAGAGCUCGUAGGUGGUUUGUCGCGUUGUUCGUGAAAACUCACAGCUUAACUGUGGGCGUGCGGGCGAUACGGGCAGACUUGAGUACUGCAGGGGAGACUGGAAUUCCUGGUGUAGCGGUGGAAUGCGCAGAUAUCAGGAGGAACACCGGUGGCGAAGGCGGGUCUCUGGGCCGAUACUGACGCUGAGGAGCGAAAAGCAUGGGGGAGCGAACAGG
This 255-nucleotide ribosomal RNA is filed under the name uncultured bacterium. RNAcentral describes it as "partial 16S ribosomal RNA". It matches the Rfam family "Bacterial small subunit ribosomal RNA", at positions 524 to 776 of the family's 1533-position model. The record is from RNAcentral.